Molecule: long non-coding RNA, 1678 nt
Organism: Notolabrus celidotus (New Zealand spotty)
Lineage: Eukaryota; Metazoa; Chordata; Actinopteri; Labriformes; Labridae
Exons: 3
Source: RefSeq, a predicted model, not a curated record
AAGAUACUAUACACACUUGAGUCCUUCAUGUCUCCUACAGGUGAUAAGUCGGGACUGCAGGCGGUCUAGUUCAGCACCUGGACUCAUCUUCUGCAGAGCCAUGAUUUUGUAAUACGUGCUGAAUGUAGUUCGGCAUUGUCUUGCUGAAAUAUGUAAGGUCUUCCCUGAGGCAUUAAUGUUGCCUUCUCCCAUGUGUAAGCUCCACUAUCAUUGCUUUUUAACUGAGUGCAGAUAACAAGCCAAGUGGUGUUUCAUAGCAUGGGAUGUGGUGUCCAUGGUUUCCACAAGGAGUGUCAGAUUUUGAUUUGUCAGACUGCAGGACAGUUUGCUGCCUCGGGAUGAAGCCAAGAGAAGUCGGCAGAAUUUCUAGAUCAUGUUUAUGUACGGUCUCCUCUUUGCAUGGUACAGUUUGAACCUGCUUUUGUUGAUGCAGUGAUAAACCGUGUAUAUAGACAACAGUUUUUGUAAGUGGUUUUGAACCCAUGCAGUGAUUUCCACUACAGAGUCAUGUCCGAAUUUAAAGCAGUGAAGAUGAUGGCCGUCCAGUAUUGGAUUUGGUCCUGGUCCAGAUCUCUGAAUCUUUUAAUGAUAUAAUGAACUGUAGAUGAUGAAAUCCACUCAUUCUUGGGGAGCAAUAUUCUGAGGCUGUGACAGACUGUGUGAGCAAGAAGUUCAACAGAGUGGUGAAUCUUUCCCCAUCUCUUCUUCUGAGACUCAGCCUCUCUGGAGAGCUCUAUUAUUCCCAGGUAUGUUACUAACCUGUUGCAAAUCAACCUCAUUAGUGAGGAGAUGUUCCUCCAAAGCUUUUUUGUGGCAUAACAGAACUUUUUCAGUGAUUUGAUGUCCCUUUCUGAACUGUUUUGAAACCUGUGGCUCACAUAAACAUAUAAAAAUCAAGUAAAUGAUUUGCAAACAAUCAAAGUCUGUUUUUAUUAAUAUUUUACACAGCGUCCCAUCGAGGUAUUGUUUUAAGUGUCUGACAGAAAGAGAGAGUAAAGAAAGAGUAAUGUUGUACCAUCUGCACAGCAACACCAGGUUCAUAUCGACCCACUGACUGCUCUAGCAUCUCCAAAUCCUCUGAACAACCAUCACCAUCAGGCACGGCUCCCAUGGCCUUUUUAACAACCUCCAUAUCUGUGACACACCUCCUGGAUUACAGCCGUGAGAAACAGGCAGAGAAAAAUGGCGUUGAAAUGAUCCAGCUUAGCUCAGCAGACGCACGGCUUCAACGCAGCAACCGAACAGAAAAAGGAAAACAAAGCAGCUGCCACGGUCCGGCAUUUUCCUCCCAAGGUGCCAAAAACCAAAAGUGUGUACUCACCAAAGGGAAGGUCCAUACUUGAAGUGACUUGUGUAAAGUGUGGAAGUUAGGCACGGGGUGCUGCAGUGUGAGAAGGCUGUUGUUGGUGCAAGAGCGAAGGAGAGCGCCUCAUUACAGAAAGUGAGUUCAUGGAGACGGGAGAGAGGGAAAGGCCGAGGGUGGAGGGAGACAUAAAAGACGGAGAGGAGUGGAGAAUGUACUCAAGGAGGCAGCGACAAACUGAGCCGAAGAGACGUCAGAGGUUUUGUUUUGACUGAUGGAGGAAAGUCAUUUACCCUUCAGACUGAAAUCAAUGUUUUACACAAUAUUUCCAUUCCUCCAAACAUUUAUUUUCAUUAAAUAAAAUUUUUCUUCACA